CGUAGGGUGCGAGCGUUAAUCGGAAUUACUGGGCGUAAAGCGUGCGCAGGCGGUUUUAGUAAGACAGGCGUGAAAUCCCCGGGCUCAACCUGGGAACUGCGCUUGUGACUGCUAAGCUAGAGUACGGCAGAGGGGGGUGGAGUUCCACGUGUAGCAGUGAAAUGCGUAGAGAUGUGGAGGAACACCAAUGGCGAAGGCAGCCCCCUGGGUCGAUACUGACGCUCAUGCACGAAAGCGUGGGUAGCAAACAGGAUUAGAUACCCUGGUAGUCCACGCCCUAAACGAUGUCAACUAGGUGUUGGGAGGGUAAAACCUUUUAGUACCGGAGCUAACGCGUGAGGUUGACCGCCUGGGGAGUACGGCCGCAAGGUUA
Molecule: ribosomal RNA, 373 nt
Filed under: uncultured organism
Description: bacterial SSU rRNA
Rfam family: Bacterial small subunit ribosomal RNA
Source: RNAcentral